This 492-nucleotide ribosomal RNA is filed under the name uncultured bacterium. RNAcentral describes it as "partial 16S ribosomal RNA". It matches the Rfam family "Bacterial small subunit ribosomal RNA", at positions 29 to 507 of the family's 1533-position model. The record is from RNAcentral.
AGUGAACGCUGGCGGUAGGCCUAACACAUGCAAGUCGAACGGCAGCACAGUAAGAGCUUGCUCUUACGGGUGGCGAGUGGCGGACGGGAGAGGAAUACAUCGGAAUCUACUUUUUCGUGGGGGAUAACGUAGGGAAACUUACGCUAAUACCGCAUACGACCUACGGGUGAAAGCAGGGGAUCUUCGGACCUUGCGCGAUUGAAUGAGCCGAUGUCGGAUUAGCUAGUUGGCGGGGUAAAGGCCCACCAAGGCGACGAUCCGUAGCUGGUCUGAGAGGAUGAUCAGCCACACUGGAACUGAGACACGGUCCAGACUCCCACGGGAGGCAGCAGUGGGGAAUAUUGGACAAUGGGCGCAAGCCUGAUCCAGCCAUACCGCGUGGGUGAAGAAGGCCUUCGGGUUGUAAAGCCCUUUUGUUGGGAAAGAAAAGCAGCAGGUUAAUACCCCGCUGUUCUGACGGUACCCAAAGAAUAAGCACCGGCUAACUUCGUG